This 252-nucleotide ribosomal RNA is filed under the name uncultured bacterium. RNAcentral describes it as "partial 16S ribosomal RNA". It matches the Rfam family "Bacterial small subunit ribosomal RNA", at positions 524 to 776 of the family's 1533-position model. The record is from RNAcentral.
UACGGAGGAUGCGAGCGUUAUCCGGAUUUAUUGGGUUUAAAGGGUGCGUAGGCGGGAUGCCAAGUCAGCGGUAAAAAUGCGGUGCUCAACGCGGUCGAGCCGUUGAAACUGGCGUUCUUGAGUGGGCGAGAAGUAUGCGGAAUGCGUGGUGUAGCGGUGAAAUGCAUAGAUAUCACGCAGAACUCCGAUUGCGAAGGCAGCAUACCGGCGCCCUACUGACGCUGAGGCACGAAAGCGUGGGUAUCGAACAGG